CCUACGGGAGGCUGCAGUGGGGAAUAUUGGGCAAUGGACGCAAGUCUGACCCAGCCACGCCGCGUGAAGGAAGAAGGCCUUCGGGUUGUAAACUUCUUUUAAGGGGGAAGAGCAGAAGACGGUACCCCUUGAAAAAGCCACGGCGAACUACGUGCCAGCAGCCGCGGUAAUACGUAGGUGGAAAGCGUUGUCCGGAUUUUCUGGGUGUAAAGGGUGUGCAGCCGGAGAGACAAGUCAGCUGUGAAAUCCACGGGCUCAACCCGUGAACUGCAUUUAAGACUGUUUCCCUUGAGUAUCGGAGAGGUAAUCGGAAUACCUUGUGUAGAGGUGAAAUGCGUAGAUAUAAGGUAGAACACCAGUGGCGAAGGCGGAUUACUGGACGAUAACUGACGGUGAGGCGCGAAAGCGUGGGGAGCAAACAGGAUUAGAUACCCCAGUAGUC
This 442-nucleotide ribosomal RNA is filed under the name uncultured bacterium. Its description in RNAcentral is "partial 16S ribosomal RNA". It matches the Rfam family "Bacterial small subunit ribosomal RNA", at positions 338 to 795 of the family's 1533-position model. The record is from RNAcentral.